This 107-nucleotide small nuclear RNA is filed under the name Cervus hanglu yarkandensis (Yarkand deer). The record is from RNAcentral. Lineage: Eukaryota; Metazoa; Chordata; Mammalia; Artiodactyla; Cervidae.
GUGCUCACUUCGGCAGCACAUAUACAAAAAUUAGAACAAUACAGAGAAGAUUAGCAUGGCCCCUGCACAAGGAUAACAUGCAAAUUCGUGAAGCGUUCCAUAUUUUU